Molecule: ribosomal RNA, 253 nt
Filed under: uncultured bacterium
Lineage: Bacteria
Description: partial 16S ribosomal RNA
Rfam family: Bacterial small subunit ribosomal RNA
Source: RNAcentral
UACGGGGGGGGCAAGCGUUGUUCGGAAUUACUGGGCGUAAAGGGCUCGUAGGCGGCCAACUAAGUCAUACGUGAAAUCCCUCAGCUUAACUGGGGAACUGCGUCUGAUACUGGAUGGCUUGAGUUUGGGAGAGGGAUGCGGAAUUCCAGGUGUAGCGGUGAAAUGCGUAGAUAUCUGGAGGAACACCGGUGGCGAAGGCGGCAUCCUGGGCCAAUACUGACACUGAGGAGCGAAAGCCAGGGGAGCAAACGGG